CCAGCAGCCGCGGUAAUUCCAGCUCCAAUAGCGUAUAUUAAAGUUGUUGCAGUUAAAAAGCUCGUAGUUGGAUCUCUGGAUUGGAGUAACGGUCGGCCGCAAGGCGUGUACUGUUAAGCCGGUUCAUCUUCUCGGAGACUGUAUGCUCUUAACUGAGUGUGCAUGGAUUCGGGACCUUUACUUUGAAAAAAUUAGAGUGUUCAAAGCAGGCCACCGCUUGGAUACAUUAGCAUGGAAUAAUGGAAUAGGAUUUUGGUCCUAUUUUGUUGGUUUCUAGGACUGAAAUAAUGAUUAAUAGGAACGGUUGUGGUCAUUUGUAUUUCGGAGUCAGAGGUGAAAUUCUA
Molecule: ribosomal RNA, 344 nt
Filed under: uncultured eukaryote
Lineage: Eukaryota
Description: SSU rRNA
Rfam family: Eukaryotic small subunit ribosomal RNA
Source: RNAcentral